GCAUAUCAAUAAGCGGAGGAAAAGAAACCAACAGGGAUUGCCCUAGUAACGGCGAGUGAAGCGGCAACAGCUCAAAUUUGAAAUCUGGCGUCUUCGGCGUCCGAGUUGUAAUUUGCAGAGGGCGCUUUGGCAUUGGCAGCGGUCCAAGUUCCUUGGAACAGGACGUCACAGAGGGUGAGAAUCCCGUACGUGGUCGCUAGCCUUUACCGUGUAAAGCCCCUUCGACGAGUCGAGUUGUUUGGGAAUGCAGCUCUAAAUGGGAGGUAAAUUUCUUCUAAAGCUAAAUACUGGCCAGAGACCGAUAGCGCACAAGUAGAGUGAUCGAAAGAUGAAAAGCACUUUGGAAAGAGAGUUAAAAAGCACGUGAAAUUGUUGAAAGGGAAGCGCUUGCAGCCAGACUUGCCUGUAGUUGCUCAUCCGGGUUUCUACCCGGUGCACUCUUCUAUGGGCAGGCCAGCAUCAGUUUGGGCGGUUGGAUAAAGGUCUCUGUCAUGUACCUCUCUUCGGGGAGAACUUAUAGGGGAGACGUCAUGCAACCAGCCUGGACUGAGGUCCGCGCAUCUGCUAGGAUGCUGGCGUAAUGGCUGUAAGCGGCCCGUCUUGAAACACGGACCAAGGAGUCUAACAUCUAUGCGAGUGUUUGGGUGUCAAGCCCGAGCGCGUAAUGAAAGUGAACGGAGGUGGGAACCUUUCGGGGUGCACCAUCGACCGAUCCUGAUGUCUUCGGAUGGAUUUGAGUAAGAGCAUAGCUGUUGGGACCCGAAAGAUGGUGAACUAUGCUUGAAUAGGGUGAAGCCAGAGGAAACUCUGGUGGAGGCUCGCAGCGGUUCUGACGUGCAAAUCGAUCGUCAAAUUUGGGCAUAGGGGCGAAAGACUAAUCGAACUAUCUAGUAGCUGGUUCCUGCCGA
RNAcentral lists this ribosomal RNA (908 nucleotides) under Phomatosphaeropsis pinicola. RNAcentral's name for it is "LSU rRNA". It matches the Rfam family "Eukaryotic large subunit ribosomal RNA", at positions 38 to 964 of the family's 3401-position model. Lineage: Eukaryota; Fungi; Ascomycota; Dothideomycetes; Botryosphaeriales; Botryosphaeriaceae. The record is from RNAcentral.